GACGAACGCUGGCGGCGUGCUUAACACAUGCAAGUCGAACGGUGACGAGGAGCUUGCUCCUCUGAUCAGUGGCGAACGGGUGAGUAACACGUGAGCAACCUGCCCCAGACUCUGGGAUAACAGUUGGAAACAGCUGCUAAUACCGGAUACGAGACGGAGAGGCAUCUCUACCGUCUGGAAAGUUUUUCGGUCUGGGAUGGACUCGCGGCCUAUCAGCUAGUUGGUGAGGUAAUGGCUCACCAAGGCGACGACGGGUAGCCGGCCUGAGAGGGCGACCGGCCACACUGGGACUGAGACACGGCCCAGACUCCUACGGGAGGCAGCAGUAGGGAAUAUUGCGCAAUGGGCGAAAGCCUGACGCAGCGACGCCGCGUGGGUGAUGAAGGCCUUCGGGUUGUAAAACCCUGUCCUUGGGGAAGAAGGAAGUGACGGUACCCAAGGAGGAAGCCCCGGCUAACUACGUG
RNAcentral lists this ribosomal RNA (464 nucleotides) under uncultured bacterium. RNAcentral describes it as "bacterial SSU rRNA". It matches the Rfam family "Bacterial small subunit ribosomal RNA", at positions 28 to 507 of the family's 1533-position model. The record is from RNAcentral.